GAUGAAGAACGUAGCGAAAUGCGAUAAGUAAUGUGAAUUGCAGAAUUCAGUGAAUCAUCGAAUCUUUGAACGCACAUUGCGCCUGCCAGCACUCUGGCAGGCAUGCCUGUUCGAGCGUCAUUUCAACCAUCAAGCCCUAGGCUUGCGUUGGAGCCCUGCGGCUGCCGCAGGCCCCUAAAAGCAGUGGCGGGCUCGCUAUCACACCGAGUGCAGUAGAUUACUCUUCGCUCAGGGCGUGUGGCGGGUUCCAGCCGUGAAACCCCUACUUCUCAAGGUUGACCUCGGAUCAGGUAGGAAUACCCGCUGAACUUAAGCAUAUCAAUAAGCGGAGGA
This 333-nucleotide unclassified non-coding RNA is filed under the name soil metagenome. RNAcentral describes it as "partial contains 5.8S ribosomal RNA, internal transcribed spacer 2, and large subunit ribosomal RNA". The stretch from base 1 to 120 matches the Rfam family "5.8S ribosomal RNA", at positions 35 to 154 of the family's 154-position model. The record is from RNAcentral.